Molecule: ribosomal RNA, 332 nt
Filed under: Lepidopa californica
Lineage: Eukaryota; Metazoa; Arthropoda; Malacostraca; Decapoda; Albuneidae
Description: partial 12S ribosomal RNA
Source: RNAcentral
AGUUUGAUUCUUGCUUAAAAUUCCUAUGGUACAUCUGAAUAAUAUAUGAAAAUUUUUGUGAUCCAAGUGGCUUUGUCUUUAAAAGUUUGCCUUUUGGAAUCUCAAUAUAUAAGAUUAAACAAUUAAUUAAAGUUAGAUUUAAUAGGUGUAAAUAUUCUGGCAAAAUUUUGUGCCAGCCGCCGCGGUUAUACUUGGAGGAGAAGUGGGAAAUAAUUAGUUAGUAGUUAAUUUUGAAUUUAAAUUAUAAAAUUUUAUUUGUUAAUAUAAAAGGUGAAAUUAGUUUAUAUUAGUUAAUUGAAAUUUGGUGUGUUUNAAAUGAGCCUAUGAAGAUA